RNAcentral lists this unclassified non-coding RNA (1658 nucleotides) under Hevea brasiliensis (rubber tree). The record is from RNAcentral. Lineage: Eukaryota; Viridiplantae; Streptophyta; Magnoliopsida; Malpighiales; Euphorbiaceae.
UAUCUUAUUAUCUGGAGUGCCACCGUUUUGGGCAGAAACUGAAAUAGGCAUCUUCCGGCAGAUAUUACAAGGAAAAAUAGAUUUUGAGUCUGAACCAUGGCCUAGCAUUUCAGAAAGUGCCAAGGAUCUCAUAAGAAAAAUGCUUGACCGGAAUCCUAGGAGAAGGCCAUCAGCUCAUGAAGUGUUAUGCCAUCCAUGGAUUGUAGAUGACAGAAUUGCCCCAGAUAAGCCCCUUGAUUCUGCUGUUUUAUCCCGCCUGAAGCAAUUCUCUGCAAUGAACAAACUUAAGAAGAUGGCUUUGCGAGUCAUAGCAGAGAGGCUUUCAGAAGAAGAGAUUGGCGGUUUGAAAGAGCUCUUCAAAAUGAUAGAUACAGACAACAGUGGAACAAUAACUUUUGAUGAGUUGAAGGAAGGCUUAAAGCGAGUAGGCUCUGAACUUAUGGAGUGUGAGAUAAAGGAUUUGAUGGAUGCAGUAAGAGCAAUUAUUUCCAUCCUAUGGUUAUCAGCUUUAGAUUCCAUUUUGCCUUCCUCAUUUUGUCAUUUUAAGCUUAAUAGGAAACAAGUAUCUUGUGUGUUUUGCAGGCUGAUAUUGACAACAGUGGUACAAUUGACUAUGGUGAAUUUCUUGCUGCCACUGUACACUUGAAUAAGUUGGAAAGAGAGGAGAAUUUGGUGUCAGCUUUCUCGUUCUUUGACAAAGAUGCUAGUGGUUAUAUAACCAUCGAUGAGCUUCAACAAGCCUGCAAAGAGUUUGGCUUAAGUGAGCUCCACCUUGAUGAAAUGAUAAAAGAAAUCGAUCAAGAUAAUGCAAGUCCAUUCUCCUUUUCUUUUUACAGUUCAUUUAUUUUUUUUCCUCACAAGCGAACUUCAAAGAACUUAAAAUUUUUUGCCAACAAAUCAUUCAGAAGGGCAUCUUAUCUUGUCGUACAAAAUGAGACAGCUUUUGUAUACGAGGCUUGUUGAUUCGACUGACAAAUUGUUUCUUCAGAAAACUUGAUACAGUAUCACUUCUCUUACGAUCAUGUGGAACUUGCUUAUGGGGCCUAUUAAUGGGUGUGAGAGAGUACACCUCUCCCCUCCCUUUUCUUGAUGUUGUGAUAAAAAAAGCCUUUUAUGGUUCUAUGUUUCCAAAUGAUCAUCUGCUUAUGAAAAUUUUGUGUUGCAGGAUGGACAAAUAGAUUAUGGGGAAUUUGCUGCAAUGAUGAGGAAGGGCAAUGGAGGAAUUGGUAGGAGAACCAUGAGAAGAACAAUCAACUUGGGAGAUGCUUUAGGAUUGACAACCAAUGGUUCUAAGGAAUUUGAUUGAUGCUCACAUCAACUCUGCUAACUAUAUAGACUUCUAUCAAUAUUCAGAAACCAUCAGCUAAUUUUUAAUCUUUAUGAGUGGCCUAGCCAAAUUUUGCAUUUCUUUUUGUCUUUUCUCUAACUAGAUAUGCAUGUAUAUCGCCAUCCAAUUCAUUUCAUGAUGCUUCGAUUAGGCGUGAAAAAGGGUUUCUUGAAUGGCGGCGUAUCUUGGUGCUGUCAAUAAUUUCAGGGUCCUGUUCGAUCAAUAGAAGCAUCAAUCACUAUUUUUGCCAUUCUUCUGACCCUUAAAUCAAAGCAAUUGUGGGAAUGUGUUAUACUGAAUGCAGUUACGUUUUAAUUGCAAUGAAAAUGGG